GGGAGACGAGGUCUUUUUCCGCCCCCCGCCUCUUGUGGGGUGCGUGGUUGCCUUUUUUUCCUCCUCUUCUUCUCCUCAUCCUCAUCUUUUCCCUGCUUUCCCACGUGUGUUGGGAGAGUGGAGGAGGAAGUGUGUGUGUUUGGAGGAAGAAGGUGCAGUGGGGGAAAUAUGGUGAGGCUUGUGUGCGUACGGAGGUGUGUUGGUCACGGCUCUCACAACGUGUCGCGAUGGA
This 232-nucleotide ribosomal RNA is filed under the name Trypanosoma congolense type Savannah. RNAcentral's name for it is "partial 18S ribosomal RNA". The record is from RNAcentral. Lineage: Eukaryota; Euglenozoa; Kinetoplastea; Trypanosomatida; Trypanosomatidae.